This 646-nucleotide unclassified non-coding RNA is filed under the name uncultured Prochlorococcus sp. RNAcentral describes it as "partial 16S-23S ribosomal RNA intergenic spacer; may also contain 16S ribosomal RNA and 23S ribosomal RNA". The stretch from base 1 to 93 matches the Rfam family "Bacterial small subunit ribosomal RNA", at positions 1441 to 1533 of the family's 1533-position model. The record is from RNAcentral. Lineage: Bacteria; Bacillati; Cyanobacteriota; Cyanophyceae; Synechococcales; Prochlorococcaceae.
UUGUGGAGGAGGACGCCGAAGGUGGGGCUAAUGACUGGGGUGAAGUCGUAACAAGGUAGCCGUACCGGAAGGUGCGGCUGGAUCACCUCCUAACAGGGAGACAACAAAAUGUUUAAUAUUAUUAUUUUGUCACCUUAGGUCGAUCGGUAUCUCACAUUCUUAAUUUAUUAAGAAUUUUAUUUCCUAAGUUUUUCUAGGUCACACCCAUUAUUUUCCCUGGGCCAUUAGCUCAGGUGGUUAGAGCGCACCCCUGAUAAGGGUGAGGUCCCUGGUUCAAGUCCAGGAUGGCCCAUAUCUCUAUGUUGGGGGUAUAGCUCAGUUGGUAGAGCGCCUGCUUUGCAAGCAGGAUGUCAGCGGUUCGAGUCCGCUUACCUCCGCCGAUUACCACCUCUUCCAUAAUCGGUAGAAAGGGAAUGUUUUGAGUUGUGAUCAAAUUCUGAACGAAUCUAGCUUCUUAAUAAAAUUAUUAAGAUGCUGGACUCAUUGAAUUAAUUUCAUUGUUUUCAGAGAACCUUGACAACUGCAUAGAUUAUUUUUAAAGACAAUAAGCAUCUUUAAUGAUGCAGAUUUAUUAUUUGUGCGAAUGCAUUAAUAACAAUUCUAUUAAGCUGAUGCUUCAAUUUUGAAGUUAUUGGUCAAGCUACAA